Paramuricea clavata is the source of this 286-nucleotide non-coding RNA. The record is from the annotation of a GenBank genome assembly. NCBI's taxonomy places the organism in Eukaryota, Metazoa, Cnidaria, Anthozoa, Malacalcyonacea, Plexauridae.
CGCUGUACACGUCAUCUGCCGAAAAUAUUCCUCAUUAACUAUAAUAACAGUUGGCGAAAACCUGAACUGGGCGAUAAAUAAUAAAUAUAUCGUGUUAUCAUAUUGUAUUCAAACGUGCAAAUUCAGCUUGUGUUUAUUCCGUGACUAAUAGUUCUCAAAAUUAACUAUAAAUUCGCCCCCAAAAGGCAAGACCUUGUGUCCUUGACCUUUGAAAGAGUGCUUAAUGUAUUCACAAUAAAUAAUGGAGACAAUUUUCAUUAUAAUAAUCAUUUUCAAAGAAUUUGUU